Molecule: long non-coding RNA, 419 nt
Organism: Mus musculus (house mouse)
Lineage: Eukaryota; Metazoa; Chordata; Mammalia; Rodentia; Muridae
Product: predicted gene, 40987
Exons: 3
Source: RefSeq, a predicted model, not a curated record
CUCAGCGAAGCUCUGAAGUUGAGACACAGGGUCACUGCCCACAAUUCAGAGGAGCAGGAUGCAGUGACUUAUGAUGCUGUGCAUGUGAACUUUACUGGGGAAGAGUAGAAUUUGCUGGAUCCUUCCUAGAAGAGUCUCUACAAAGAUGUGAUGCAGGAAACCUACUUGGACCUCACUGUUAUAGGCCACACUUGGGAAGACUAUCAUAUUGAAGGACAUUGUCAAAGUUCCAGAAGACAUGAAAGGCAAUCUUCAUGUGCAAGCUGAUACACAUAGGCCUCUGAGGAAAUUUUAAUAUGUUCUGGAAGCUCUAAAGAAAAGCAAGAGUGCCGGGCAGUGGUGGAGGACACCUUUAAUCACAGCACUUGGGAGGAAGAAGCAGGCAGAUUUCUGAGUUCAAGACCAGCCUGGUCUACAGA